UCAUCUUUCUACAUAAUAUUGUUAUUAAAAGCUACUGUUUUCCAUGGAAGAUGGUAUCAACUACUCGCUGUCUCAGGGCCACUCGCUCUGAAAUGAUGCUUCUAUUGGAGAGAGGUUUACAUUGUCCACGUUUGGAGGUUCUAUUCUUUUCCAUGUAAGAUGCGGAACUGGAUGGAUCUAGGUUUGAAUGCUGUUCUGCUAUUUACAACUUGCAUGACUUUGGUCGAGUUCCUUGUGCCUUCGUUUCUUUAUGUGUCCAUCUCAUGGUAAGUGAACUCCUCAUGCCCUGACCCUGCCUUGACUGAACAGAGCUUCUUAGGAAUAACUCCCUUUCAUUCUCGGAGUGGGAUGACAUUCCUGAGUUCAACAGUCUUCCUAAAUAAGAGUGCCACACAUGGAAUAUGUGUCACGUGAAAAAUGUGUGUGUUAUCUUGUUCUCUCAACUGCUUCUUCUAAUUAGUCCAGUUUGUAUCUGUGGGACUAAAUGGGACAGGUUUCGUUCUUAAUUCAAUCCUACUUAUCUCACUAGUGUAGGUUUGGCUCUUACCAUUUUAUUUGUUCACAUUCAAUGUGAAAAUCAAGACAAAUCUAUUUCCUGAAACACACAAAGCAGUAUGAUGCUGUUUAUUAUUAUUAUUAUUUUAAUUUUAGUUUUGUACUAGCUAGGGAUUGAACCCAGGGGCUCUCUACCACUGAGCUACCACAUCCCCUUUCCUUUUUAUUUUUUUGAGACUGGGUCUCAUUAAGUUGCUCAGGCUGGCCUUAAAUGUGCCUCAGCCUCCAGAAUUACUGGGAUUCAGGCAUACACCACUGGCUCUUUUACUUUUUAAAAAAUGCUCCUGGUUCCUUAUUAACUCUCUAGCCUUCAUGAGGACAACUUAAGAAUCAUCUACAAGGAGGAAGAAAUGACUUCUCUCUACCUGACUUACAUGCCUGUCCCCUGUAAGGAGGCACUGACUUGUGACUGCGAGAACUCCCUGCUCAUCUCAAGAGCAAGUGCUUCCCUGCUUUUCUCCCCUCACUGAAAGCACUGAGAGCACACAACUGGUGUCAUUUAGAAACCCCUGUCUCUCUAAUCUCUGAUUCUAGUCUCUUCCCCACUACACAUACCACAUCUUCCAAGAUGUGGCUCACACAAUGCUGGGCUCAUGGAGGUAUUUUUAAAAUUUAAAUUUUUCUUUGAAGGUGCUGGGGAUAGAACCCAGGGCCUUGCACAUGCUAGGCAAGUGCUCUACCGUUGAACUAUAUCCUCACCCCAUCAAAGUGUUUUUUUUUAGAGGAACAGUAUUCAUAUCAUUUUAAUAAAGUGAUUCACUUUCCAAUAAAUAAAUGACAGAAGCCAAAAUAAGAAUUUUGGAAAACUUCUAUCUACCACAGUGAGCAUGACAGCUUCCCCAAUAAGUAAAUUCUUUCCUAAUGAGACUAGUGGUGAUAGUAACAAGUGAUUUUUUUAUACUUUUUAUAAUGAAAUGUGACAGUAUUUGAAAGAUCUAUAUAAUCAGAAAAAAUAUUACCAAAUGACUACAUGAUAUAACAAUUUGUAUGUCAUUAAAUCCAAUUCUUGUUUUGCAGAUGAACCCAAAGACACAGUGGCUUACAGUGCCCCAGGAAGCUAGUGGCAUGAUUGUCUCAGUUUCCCCACGGCACAGAGAGUCUUUAAAGAGUUUGAGGUCUAAUGUCUAAGACAAUACAGAAGCACACAAAUAACCACAAGAAAAGAUAUUAUAUGAGAAAUAGAAAGUGUGAAGGCAGAAGGAAGGGGGAGAAAUCACACCUUUUUAAGCAGGGGUGUGGUGUGAGUAGGAGGACAAUCAGGAUUGUGUAUGAUAAUUCUCAACCUUCUUAGUUUCAAUAUCUUUUUAGGCUCUUAAGAAUUAUUUUGAAUCCCAAAGAGGUUUUUUUUUUGUUUGUGUG
Ictidomys tridecemlineatus (thirteen-lined ground squirrel) is the source of this 1914-nucleotide long non-coding RNA. RefSeq lists it as uncharacterized. The record is from RefSeq and is a predicted model, not a curated record. Lineage: Eukaryota; Metazoa; Chordata; Mammalia; Rodentia; Sciuridae.